This 479-nucleotide ribosomal RNA is filed under the name uncultured bacterium. RNAcentral describes it as "bacterial SSU rRNA". It matches the Rfam family "Bacterial small subunit ribosomal RNA", at positions 399 to 893 of the family's 1533-position model. The record is from RNAcentral.
GCGUGUGCGAUGAAGGUCUUCGGAUUGUAAAGCACUUUUAGAGGGGAUGAGGAAGGACAGUACCCUCUGAAUAAGCCUCGGCUAACUACGUGCCAGCAGCCGCGGUAAAACGUAGGAGGCGAGCGUUAUCCGGAUUUACUGGGCGUAAAGCGCGUGUAGGCGGCGUGAUAAGUUGGAUGUGAAAGCUCCCGGCUAAACUGGGAGAGGACGUUCAAUACUGUCACGCUUGAGGAUGGGAGAGGGAGGUGGAAUUCCGGGUGUAGUGGUGAAAUGCGUAGAUAUCCGGAGGAACACCAGUGGCGAAGGCGGCCUCCUGGCCCAUUUCUGACGCUCAGACGCGAAAGCUAGGGUAGCAAACGGGAUUAGAGACCCCGGUAGUCCUAGCUGUAAACGAUGUAGACUUGGCGUUGGUGGGGUAAAAUCCAUCAGUGCCGUAGCUAACGCGAUAAGUCUACCGCCUGGGGACUACGGCCGCAAGG